This 229-nucleotide ribosomal RNA is filed under the name Shigella sp. FC1967. Its description in RNAcentral is "partial 16S ribosomal RNA". It matches the Rfam family "Bacterial small subunit ribosomal RNA", at positions 520 to 746 of the family's 1533-position model. Lineage: Bacteria; Pseudomonadati; Pseudomonadota; Gammaproteobacteria; Enterobacterales; Enterobacteriaceae. The record is from RNAcentral.
GUAAUACGGAGGGUGCAAGCGUUAAUCGGAAUUACUGGGCGUAAAGCGCACGCAGGCGGUCAAUUAAGUCAGAUGUGAAAGCCCCGAGCUUAACUUGGGAAUUGCAUCUGAAACUGGUUGGCUAGAGUCUUGUAGAGGGGGGGGUAGAAUUCCACGUGUAGCGGUGAAAUGCGUAGAGAUGUGGAGGAAUACCGGUGGCGAAGGCGGCCCCCUGGACAAAGACUGACGC